RNAcentral lists this long non-coding RNA (412 nucleotides) under Phascolarctos cinereus (koala). RNAcentral describes it as "lncRNA (ENSPCIG00000025448.2)". Lineage: Eukaryota; Metazoa; Chordata; Mammalia; Diprotodontia; Phascolarctidae. The record is from RNAcentral.
ACUAGAGUAAAGGGCCCAGCUUCUGGGAUGGUCUGCUGGCGCUGUGGUUAUGGAAAGAUGGUUUCGUGUCAUCACAGGAACUGAAAGUCUUGGGCAGUUGGCAUGUAAGAUCUGGCCUGCUGCUGAACCAUCAUGGCAAAAAUGGAAGCCACUGAUCCUGGCCAGGAAGGAUGUAUGGAUACAAAAACAAGAUGUCUCCAAAAAAGUCUUGAAAAACUUCAAAUACCAAGGAGUGGCUAAAGAGGCAGAGUCCCUUUCUGAUUUUAUUCCCUACAAUGAAAGAUGCACAACAAAGAAUGUGGAAAGACUCAGGCUCUUGGACAAAGACUCCUGUGACGGAAAUAGGCUUCUCACCAACAGGUAACAGAAACACAAAUGAGAAACUGAGGGGAGAAAUGAAAAGAUUUGCUGC